UGGGGAAUCUUGCGCAAUGGCCGAAAGGCUGACGCAGCGACGCCGCGUGGGGGAUGAAGGUUUUCGGAUCGUAAACCCCUGUUGCCCGGGACGAACAGCCCUUUCGAGGGACUUGACGGUACCGGGUGAGGAAGCACCGGCUAACUCCGUGCCAGCAGCCGCGGUAAUACGGAGGGUGCGAGCGUUGUCCGGAAUCACUGGGCGUAAAGGGCGCGUAGGCGGUUGGGGAAGUCCGUGGUGAAAGCUCGUGGCUCAACUACGAGUCGGCCAUGGAUACUCCUUGACUUGAGCACUGUAGAGGCAGAUGGAAUUCCGGGUGUAGCGGUGGAAUGCGUAGAGAUCCGGAAGAACACCGGUGGCGAAGGCGGUCUGCUGGGCAGUAGCUGACGCUGAGGCGCGACAGCGUGGGGAGCAAACAG
This 419-nucleotide ribosomal RNA is filed under the name uncultured bacterium. Its description in RNAcentral is "bacterial SSU rRNA". It matches the Rfam family "Bacterial small subunit ribosomal RNA", at positions 355 to 775 of the family's 1533-position model. The record is from RNAcentral.